This is a non-coding RNA of Pelobates cultripes (western spadefoot toad), 209 nucleotides long. Lineage: Eukaryota; Metazoa; Chordata; Amphibia; Anura; Pelobatidae. The record is from the annotation of a GenBank genome assembly.
UGCAAAUGGACUAUCAGAGAUGUAAUUAAGUAGUAAUCAAACUAAAGUGCCACUAAAGUUUGGAAAAGGUAAGUUUAUUUAAUUCCCCAUAUCAAUGUGUGUGUGUGUGUGUGUGUGUGUGUGUGUGUGUGUUUGUUUGUGGGGGGGAAGGAGAGGGGCAACAUAGUUCUGGGCAUAAAAAAUGUUGAGGUAUCAGCACCAGUCUGCAA